ACAUGCGUACAUCAUAGCAUUAAUGCACUUGAUCCCAUUAGAAACUCCAUAGUUAAGCGUGCUCAGGCUAGAGUAGUACUGGGAUGGGUGACCACCCAGGAAUUCCUAGUGUUUUACAUGCA
This is a non-coding RNA of Picea glauca (white spruce), 122 nucleotides long. NCBI's taxonomy places the organism in Eukaryota, Viridiplantae, Streptophyta, Pinopsida, Pinales, Pinaceae. The record is from Rfam.